UACGUAGGGUGCGAGCGUUAAUCGGAAUUACUGGGCGUAAAGCGUGCGCAGGCGGUUUUGUAAGCCAGAUGUGAAAGCCCCGGGCUUAACCUGGGAAUGGCAUUUGGGACUGCAAGGCUGGAGUGUGGCAGAGGAGACUGGAAUUCCUGGUGUAGCAGUGAAAUGCGUAGAUAUCAGGAGGAACACCGAUGGCGAAGGCAGGUCUCGGGGCUGACACUGACGCUCAUGCACGAAAGCGUGGGGAGCAAACAGG
Molecule: ribosomal RNA, 253 nt
Filed under: uncultured bacterium
Lineage: Bacteria
Description: partial 16S ribosomal RNA
Rfam family: Bacterial small subunit ribosomal RNA
Source: RNAcentral